Molecule: transfer RNA, 89 nt
Filed under: Cellulomonas algicola
Lineage: Bacteria; Bacillati; Actinomycetota; Actinomycetes; Micrococcales; Cellulomonadaceae
Description: tRNA-Asp
Source: RNAcentral
CGCCGGGGUGGUCGACGUACUCGCGCAGCACCUGGCUGUCACCGAGGUCGACGACGUCCCCCGCGAGGUCCCAGACCUUGCCGUGGUGG